UUCCGGUUGAUCCCGCCGGACCCCACUGCUAUCGGGAUGGGACUAAGACAUGCUAGUCGAGCGCCUUCUAGCCACGACGAAGGCGCGGCGCACAGCUCAGUAACACGUGGCUAACCUGCCCUUGGGAUAGGAACACCCCCGGGAAACUGGGGCUAAUUCCCAAUAGGCGAAGAACUCUGGAAUGAGUCUUCACCAGAAAGGACGUUUGCGUCAUGCUCGCAGGCGUCGCCUAAGGAUGGGGCCGCGACCGAUCAGGUUGUUGGUGAGGUAAUGGCCCACCAAGCCUAUAACCGGUGCGGGCCGUGAGAGCGGGAGCCCGGAGAUGGGCACUGAGACAAGGGCCCAGGUCCUACGGGGCGCAGCAGUCGCGAAAACUUUGCAAUACACGAAAGUGUGACAGGGUCAUCCCGAGUGCCGACCGCUGAGGUUGGCUUUUACCCAGUCUAGAAAGCUGGGGGAAUAAGGAGAGGGCAAGUCUGGUGUCAGCCGCCGCGGUAAUACCAGCUCUCCGAGUGGUGUG
This 520-nucleotide ribosomal RNA is filed under the name uncultured archaeon. Its description in RNAcentral is "bacterial SSU rRNA". It matches the Rfam family "Archaeal small subunit ribosomal RNA", at positions 1 to 495 of the family's 1478-position model. The record is from RNAcentral.